Molecule: long non-coding RNA, 637 nt
Organism: Rattus norvegicus (Norway rat)
Lineage: Eukaryota; Metazoa; Chordata; Mammalia; Rodentia; Muridae
Source: RefSeq, a predicted model, not a curated record
UGCUAGAAGAGGUAAAAUAGGGCCCCAGCUGCCAGGAAAUCAGAGCACGCAGCCUUUUCGCUUUCCACAGAGCUUCUUCCAGAUAUCAACAUAAGGGAAAGAAGAUAAUUGUCACAGCAAAGAAAGGUUCUGCUGCUACUCAACCAAAAUGAGGCCACUCGCAUCCAUUUCUUGGGCCAUGAGCAUCUGCAUGUUGGGAAGAUUUCGUGGUAUCUGAUACAGAACCCCAGAGGUGUGGAAGCUGUGCUCCCAACUCAGAUCUCUGCCUCAAACAAUACCACCAUGGUGACUCUCUUGUGUUCUUACUAUGAACAUGAUAUCUUGCUAAGGCUUCUGGAGAAGAACUUGGAACUGGAAUGCUCUGACAAGGCAGUAGAAGUCUAGUUUUGAAACACAAAUAUUAAUAUGCCGGUUGCCCUCUCCAUCUGAAUACAGAUACAAAAGGGAGGCAUUUACUACAUUGUGCUUAGCAAUGGUGCACACUGGGAAACUAUGUUAAAUUUAGACCUUGUUGAUUUAUCAUGUCUAUAUUUUUAACUGAUAAACAUAUCACAGAUGAUACUUGCUUCAAUGUCCUCACAAAAUACUUUGGAAAUGUAAUUAUUUUGUAUGUCUGAAUAAACAUAUUCCCCCCCUU